GCCAGGCCUGGUGGCACGUGCCUAUAAUCCCAGCUGCUCAGGAAGCCGAAAUAGGAGGAUUGCUUAAGCCCAGAGGGUCUGGGCUGUAGUUUGCUAUGCCAAUUGGGUGUACACAGUAAGUUAAGCAUCAAUACAUAUAACUCCCAGGAGUGGGGGACCACAGGUUUCCUAAAGAGGGGUGAGCCAGCCUGGGUAGAAAACAGAGCAGGCCAAAUUUCCCGUGCUGAUGAGUAAUCAAAUCCUGCCUGUGAAUAACAUUUGCACUCCAGCCUGGGCAACACAGCAAGACCCUGUCUCUU
Molecule: unclassified non-coding RNA, 299 nt
Organism: Callithrix jacchus (white-tufted-ear marmoset)
Lineage: Eukaryota; Metazoa; Chordata; Mammalia; Primates; Cebidae
Rfam family: Metazoan signal recognition particle RNA
About the family: The signal recognition particle (SRP) is a universally conserved ribonucleoprotein. It is involved in the co-translational targeting of proteins to membranes.
Source: Ensembl